CAGGCGUCCCUGGAAUCCGUACUCCAGAGCCGCCUCACCCCACCCCUACCUCCACACCAGGGCAGGUGGGACCCAUACAGACCCUGCCAGGCCCACCUGCCCCCCAGCCACCCCGGCUUCUCUGACUGAAAGUCCUAGCACCCACUAGGCCACUCAUGGGCACACGGCCCCCUGCUGCCCCUUCUGAUUGCGUGCUGCCACCCAGGUCUGCACAGCUCCACCCUCGAGGCCUUUUUGGGCACUUGCUCAAGUGCUACUUCCUCUCUGAGAUCCACCCUGACCUCCUCUCCUGCUUGCACUUUGCUCACAGCACUAAGCACUUCAUCGUACACAGGGAUGAGAGGAAGAGCGGACCCCCUAGACGCCCAGGCCCCGAUUGCCAGAGCCAGUGGCCUUAUUGCCUUACCUGCAGAAGGGACUUGGUGGAUGUGAGUGAGCGAAGGACGUGGGGUUGGAGAGAUGACCCCAGAUUACCCACACGGGUCCAGCGUCAUCGCAGACGUCCUGGUGCAAUCACAGGAGGGGCCCGGAGACCUGGAGGUGCGACGACAGAGCCCAGAGCCGUAGCUGCUGAUUCUGAGCUAUGGCCCCAGCCCCCGAGACCGUGAGAGCCCUGCCCACGGAAGGUCGGGACCACCGUGCACAUGCCCUCGGCUCCGCGUCCUUGGACCCACCACCGGGCCCUCUGAGCCUGUUUCCUUGUCUGUGAUAUGAAGAAGUAAAACGCCCUCCACGAAGCUGUGGUCUCUACCACUGAAGAGAAACGUUUGCUCAGAUCCUCUGCGAUGGUUGUGAAUUCUCAAGGGAAAUGAUCAUUGUCAUUAAAUAUCUUCUGUCUGGAGCCCUGAACCAGACGCCUGGAUUUCCCAGCAACCGGAGCUAAACCGGACCAGAGAGGCUCCAGCCUGGUUCAUGCAGAACCUGCGGCAGCAGGCUGCCCGGGCUCUGUGAGCCCCUUCCAUGUGGGUGAAGCUCCCCAGCAGGGGUAUCAGCAAGGCAGUGGAGCUGAGCGGUGGUGAGUUCUCAGCCGGAGCUGGCAAAGGCCAAAUCAAACACCCUCGCGGUGGAAGAGACAGAGAUGGAGUUCUUCCCUGGGUGCGCAGCCGGAGAGCCACAGGACUGGAACCCGGGCCCAGGCUGCCCCGCCAGGUCCAGUCCUCUACCUGCCACCACCCAGCUGGCCUCCCCGGGGAGCUCUGUUGCACAGUGGGCUGCUGAGCAACGUGCCUGUCAAAGGAGUGACUCUCAAAUGCUGUAAUUUCUGUUUAUGGAAAGACGAGAGAGCAGAAGUCUUCCGGGAAUGGAUGCCUGGGGCAGGUCACCUCCUCCCUGCUCCAAGGAAACCCCUGGUGGGGCUUUGGGAUGCCCUCACCUCUCACAGGCCUCCUGUGUGGAUGUGAGCAGACAUCCUUUCAGCCUGGCUCUGCUGUCUGCACCUGCGCUUUCUGGGCACCACCUCUAGUGCAUCUGGGCUAGUCCACCGAUCUCCUUCCCAACCCUCGCUACUCUCCCAACCACCCCUGACCUGUCCAUGUCCCUCUACAGCUCUACAUCCCCAGCGCCCGUAGCAUAAAGGCUAGACUCCUUAAGCAGCACCUGCCUGCCUCUGGCCUCAUCCCCAACCUCUGCUCCCCACGUCUCACCCUCAGUAGUGCUGACCUGCUUAUACUCUCUACCCACCCUGACACACACACACACACACACACACACACACACACACACACACCGUGUUCUGUUGCCUCCAGCUAGAAUUCCACAUUCCCGUCUAGCUGGUGAACUCCUAGUCAUGCUUCAAGGCCUGACUAUCCCAGAAAGCUUUCUCAGACACCUUUCUCCCUCACAAGGGGGAGACAACACUUUCUCUCUGGAUGACUGUGUCCCGCGGUUUUAUCCCACAGUAUUUUGACUAGCAUGUGUCCAGUAGGCUGAACUCAGCAAGGGCAUUGGAUGGGCCCCACGUCUAGGACGGAGCUGGUUGCCAGGAGGUGCUCAGAGUGAGUGUGGCCCAGGUGAAAUGUAGCACCCUCCCAUCUGUACACGUGUGGUGAGGGUUUGGGGGUCACAGUGGCAUCCCUCAGAGGCCAGCCUUGGGAACGCUCCGGCCUCUGCUCUAGAACAAAGGCCUCCUUUUUCUCCCAGGAGCACACUGGUCAGGAGUGACUGCUGAUGAACGGAGGCUUCGGGCUUCUGCGGAUAGCACUGCCCCGUUCUUUGGCCGCAUGAGUGGGGCUUCCCCGCAGAGGCCCCUAGCUCAGCCCCUGCAUGGCAGCCGAAGAAGUGUCCCCCCUGCGGAUGACCACUUGCUGAUCUCCCAGGCCCAGGACUGUGUUGUUGUUUGCAGCCGAGGAAUUAAGGUUGCAGGUGGAACUGGGACUGCCAACCCACUGACCUUGAAAUGGGGAGAUCACCCUCCAUCCUCUGGGUGGGUCCAGUCUAACCAGAUCCUGAACCGUGGAGGGCAGGAGAGUGGCUUCAGGGCGCUGCGACCUGAGAAAGGCCGCUGCUGGCUGAGGCCCUGGGGGCAGGUGGUCUCAUGAAGUCAGGAAAGACAAGAAAACAGGUUCCCCCCGGGAGCCCCCAAGAACGAUGUGGUGCUGCUGACGAUUCGAUUUAACCCUCAGGAGAGUCCGUGUGUUGCUCUGAGCUGCGGAGUCUGGGGGUGUUGCUUUGUCAGCCACAGGCAUCAGGUACAGACCGAGGCCUAGAGAAAAGGGAGGCGGCCAAGCCCACCGCCUGUGGCACUGCCAGGCCUCUGACUCCCUGCCCGGGGCUCCUGGCCCUGCCCGCCCGCCUCCUCGGGCCACAGGACAGAAGCCCCAGGAAACACCCGCCGUCCGUUGGGCCCAGGGCGAGGGGGGACAGAGCACACCAUGGCCACUUUUUGAGGGCGCCAGCAAAUGCGCAAAUCUGGUGCACAGAGAAGCACAUGGGCCUCGAAUCCUGCAAAGCAGCCCAUUAACCGGUUUUGACAAAAGUUGGAACUUGCAGGAGCCGAGGGCUCAUCCUCCUGUCCGCCCCCGCCCCCCGCCCCCGUCCGCUUGGGGGCAGGCGGCGGCGGGCCGCGGAUGUGACUGGAUCUGCCAUCCUUAGUCCUUAGCUUCCUGGCGCCCUGGGCACCUCCCGGGUGCACCUCCUGUGUCCAGAGCCAAGCCCGGUGGCUCCUGCCUGUUCCUGGUGUCCUCACCCAUCCUCUUCCUUUUGAUCAGGGCAGGGGCCACGCUCCCUGACGAGCUGCAGGUCUCAGCACGCACACCGAGUUCCAGUAAUGCGUGACUCAUUGCCCCUGCCCCUCAGUGGGCCCUCCCCUGCCGGCAGGGCUGCUGGGCCCCGGGCCUGGCCUGCCGCCUGGGUGGGACCCAGGACACGGGCUGUGUCCCUACCUCCCCCGGGUGACUCCAGGAGCCUCCAGGGACUCAAGCCAGCUCUUUCCCUGGGGAUCUCAGUGACCUCUGUAUGAAAAGAGUUUCCCUUGGGGUGGAAACAUGAGGGGAUGCCUUUCCUCCUUGGUUGGUCUGGGCACCAGGAGCCCAUUGGCAUUGGUGGCUCCCCAGGGCCCAGAGGGGUCUUAGACUACCCCCCCCAGCCACCCGCAGUUGCCAGAUGGCCAAAGUUCCCAUGCUUCUUGGAAUUUGGGGUUCCCUCGGAGUCUGGAUGACCCACCCCCAGGCUCUGGGGGAUGGACAGAGGUGGCCGGUUCCUUCAGACUCAGGGUCCUGGGCAAGCACCCUAGGCUGGCCGGCUCCACCUCCCCUGUCCUCUGAGCAGCUAGUUGUCCUUCCCUGCUCCUCUGGGUGACCAGAGCCAGGAGGCCUGUGUAGUGUUUCCAACACGUGCCCAUGGCAGGCGGCUGGACUCUGGUGUUGAGUGCUGAGGAGCUGGGGCAAGCAGUCAUUGCCUCAUGACGAUGGCAAAAAUAGCAGUGAUCUUUCAGGCACGGCUCACAGGAGCCAAUCCUUCCCGGGUGUAGCGUCCUUCCCUGCAGCAUGCUUUUCUCUCUCAGAUGAGGACACCAAGGUCCCUCCUGGGAAGGGGACAAAUGCAGGGGAGGAGGGACAGCUUGGCUCCUAGGCUUUGCCACCCUGGUGUGGAAGGAGCCUGCUUCUCCCUCUGCCUGUGUCUCUGCCUCUCUCUCUGCGUCUCUCAUGAAUAAAUAAAUAAAAUCUUAAAAAAAAUUUUUUUA
Molecule: long non-coding RNA, 4180 nt
Organism: Canis lupus familiaris (dog)
Lineage: Eukaryota; Metazoa; Chordata; Mammalia; Carnivora; Canidae
Exons: 4
Source: RefSeq, a predicted model, not a curated record